UACGUAGGUGGCAAGCGUUAUCCGGAAUUACUGGGCGUAAAGCGCACGUAGGCGGUCUUUUAAGUUUGACGUGAAAGCUCCCGGCUUAACUGGGAGAGGUCGUUGAAUACUGGAAGACUUGAGGCAAUGAGAGGGGUGUAGAAUUCCCGGUGUAGUGGUGGAAUGCGUAGAUAUCGGGGGGAAUACCAGUGGCGAAAGCGGCACCCUAGCGUUAGCCUGACGCUCAUGUGCGAAAGCGUGGGGAGCGAACGGG
This 253-nucleotide ribosomal RNA is filed under the name uncultured bacterium. RNAcentral describes it as "partial 16S ribosomal RNA". It matches the Rfam family "Bacterial small subunit ribosomal RNA", at positions 524 to 776 of the family's 1533-position model. The record is from RNAcentral.